CUGCAGCCAAUUAAGCCGACUGAGUUCCUUUCCUCAUGGGGGCCCAGUGUGCAAUGGCUGCAAACAGCAGCUUCCCUGGUAGUGAUGCAGCCUGUCUGUUGUAUGGGUUGCUCUAAGGGACCUUGGAGACAGAC
Colobus angolensis palliatus is the source of this 134-nucleotide small nucleolar RNA. Its record names the gene SNORA70. It matches the Rfam family "Small nucleolar RNA SNORA70". From Rfam's summary of the family: snoRNA U70 seems to be exclusive to mammals and is a member of the H/ACA class of snoRNA which contain H (ANANNA) and ACA box motifs. H/ACA box snoRNAs are involved in the conversion of uridines to pseudouridines (5-ribosyluracil) a constituent of structural RNAs (transfer, ribosomal, small nuclear, and small nucleolar). Lineage: Eukaryota; Metazoa; Chordata; Mammalia; Primates; Cercopithecidae. The record is from Ensembl.